RNAcentral lists this ribosomal RNA (453 nucleotides) under uncultured bacterium. RNAcentral's name for it is "bacterial SSU rRNA". It matches the Rfam family "Bacterial small subunit ribosomal RNA", at positions 1052 to 1504 of the family's 1533-position model. The record is from RNAcentral.
UCGUCAGCUCGUGUCGUGAGAUGUUGGGUUAAGUCCCGCAACGAGCGCAACCCUUGUCAUUAGUUGCCAUCAUUAAGUUGGGCACUCUAAUGAGACUGCCGGUGACAAACCGGAGGAAGGUGGGGAUGACGUCAAGUCAUCAUGCCCCUUAUGACCUGGGCUACACACGUGCUACAAUGGACGGUACAACGAGAAGCGAACCUGCGAAGGCAAGCGGAUCUCUUAAAGCCGUUCUCAGUUCGGACUGUAGGCUGCAACUCGCCUACACGAGGCUGGAAUCGCUAGUAAUCGCGGAUCAGCACGCCGCGGUGAAUACGUUCCCGGGCCUUGUACACACCGCCCGUCACACCAUGAGAGUCUGUAACACCCAAAGCCGGUGGGAUAACCUUUAUAGGAGUCAGCCGUCUAAGGUAGGACAGAUGAUUAGGGUGAAGUCGUAACAAGGUAGCCGUA